CAUGUACCAAGCAGUACAAUAUUUGUCAGAACCAAUCAGAUCAAGCAGAUUGGUGUGUGCAUCACCCACUCGCCCUAUAAACUCGUUGAAGCCUGUCUGUUGUCAUACUUUUCGAGAGAAUUCGUCAGUUUUAUAUUUGCUGUUACAUUUGUUGAAGGCAAUAAUAAAAUCUCAAUUGCUUUGACAAAAUUGUGUGAGGAUCGUUGAAAUCGGUUGUAGCUGGAUCUUUCCAAUUUUACAUUUUGAAUAAUUAAAACAACAUUUGAAUACCUCCAAAAAUGUGUCCUAAACCAUCGAAAAACAAAGCCAAGGGAAAAGAAGUGAUGAAGAAUAAGCAGAAUGGUAUUAAUAACAGUGAAAAUAGCAAGGUCGUCGCCAGGAAAAAGUCCAAGGGUAAUAUAAAACACGAUAAGAGGAUGAUGAAGAAGAAAGCUAAGUCUGCAACGGAAGCGCCGGAUGAUAGUAAAUUUAAAAAACCUCCUGGCGUUGAGAUGUGUCAAACAAGUGACAGGAGCUCCACCGAGGAGACUAUUGAACCUGGCGAGAAUGAUGGUCGUGGUAAUGAUCUUGAUAUAUCCAACCAAGUAGAGUCAGCUUUUGUACAAUCAAUUAUCGGGAAAACUGGGCUGAAGGUCGGUCGAGAUAAAGAAGAUGUUUUGAGACCUGUUAAAUUGAACUUAACGGAGGAAGAACUCCAGGAGGAGUGUUUAGAUGGCUUCAAACGUGUUAAAAAGGGGAAAAUUGCCAAAGGAGGAAUAAAUAAAACAUCCGAGGGUUUUGGUUUCGAGGCGUACAAAUAUAUUAUAGAAGGGAAGCCUGAUAGAGGAACCGAGUUCUUAACUAGAGCACUUGCGUUAGAUUCCUCUGAUAUUCGACAUUAUUUCAAUAGAAGUUACUCACAAUUAUGCAGUGGAAAUUACGAAGAAGCUCUCAGAGAUAUACAAUUUGUAAUGACUCAUACUGAUGAUACUAUAAACUUAUCAAGGCUGAAAUGUAGACAAGGUCAAAUAUUUAUGCGAAUGGAGGAGUUCGAGAAGGCUGAGCAGUGCUUCAAAGAAUGCCUGAACCUAUUCCCCAAUAAUAAAGUAGUCCGUUGUGAGCUUUUCCGUUCGAAAAUAGGUAAAUUUCAAAAUAUGGGUUUCUCAGAAACCGACAUAAUCAACCUUCUCUAUGACAUUCCUUAUUCCACUUUCCACGAGGCUAUCGAAUUCCUUACUGAUCUAGCAAAGACCAGGAACAUCGAAGACUCUCCUGAAAAUUCCAUCUCCAUUUCGGAUGCUGACAUAUAUGAAUCAGACAGUGAAGAAAAUCCCUCCUAUGCACGAUUAUUCAUGGAGAUGGCAAAUUUUUCUUCUUUCGCUAAGGAUGACCUGCCGUAUAGAGAGCCUAAUGAAAAUAAAAAUACUUCAUCUACUUCUGAUAGUAAAGUAGUUCGUAGAGGACAGUCAGAAUAUCAAUCUUCCGAAAUAGCUCAACACAUAACUCCAUCACCUGCGAUUAGAGAGUUGAGAGUUAUAAAUGCCUCCGGUGCGAAGAAAGCUGUUCUCAAGACUCCACCUAAGAUCAAUGUGAAUAAUAGAGCUGUAUGGGUUGGAUCACUAACCAGUGCCAUCACUGAAUCUGCUCUUAAACGCGCAUUCUCCUGUUAUGGACGUGUUGCUAGUGUCUACCGAACUCCAGACAGUACUUGUGCAUUUGUUAAUUUUGAAAAUGCAGCGUCAGCUAAACUCGCCCUUGAUGCUCAAUCACUUAACGUCAAUGGGCAGCUUUUACCCAUCAGGCUCAACCGAAGGGCGAAGUAAAUCCCUGAUGGAAACUUCUAGGUCAUCCAGAAUUAAUGGUCCCUGGACAAUUUUUUCCCAGAAAAUGAUUUCCUAGGAAAAUUAUCUUCCGAAGCAAUAGUACUGGAAUUUUGAGUGUUCCAGAAAGAGUUACCGCCUACAAGAUAAACCAAACAUCGAAGAGACCAAAAACAAGUAUCAAAUUGCUAUUUUUUUCAUUCAUGUUUUGUUUUUGUUAUCUUAUACUGCAAUUUCAGUUAUGUAGGAUAAUUCGAUUGAAUUCACUUGAUUAUCCUUAUUAUUACAAAAACAUUAGGAUUCUUUUCAAACCAGAGACGCACUACAUUAUCUUUGAUCUUCUUGAUGAAGAUUUCCAAAGACUAAUGUAGCUAUUAUUCAUUCAAUUAUUUUAUAAAAUCUAAUGAGUUAAGUAAAGUGGAGGAUGCAGUGAAGUAUUUAGAGUAUAGAAACACAUGUUUUAUUGUAUGGAUAAUUUUUUUUUCAUUUAUUUACAUUAUAAUUCAAUGAUGUACGUUUAAAAUAAAUGCCAUUACAUGCACAUUA
This is an RNA transcript of Diachasmimorpha longicaudata, 2345 nucleotides long. RefSeq lists it as uncharacterized. NCBI's taxonomy places the organism in Eukaryota, Metazoa, Arthropoda, Insecta, Hymenoptera, Braconidae. The transcript has 6 exons. The record is from RefSeq and is a predicted model, not a curated record.